AUGUGACCUUGUAUAUGAUC
Molecule: microRNA, 20 nt
Filed under: Medicago truncatula (barrel medic)
Lineage: Eukaryota; Viridiplantae; Streptophyta; Magnoliopsida; Fabales; Fabaceae
Description: mtr-miR2658
Source: miRBase by way of RNAcentral